CGGCGUCAUUUCCUAUUUCACUCCAUCAGUUAUCGCUCAGCUGGGACGCAUUGCGACACAACUUUCACUGGACGAACUGGCGUCACUCAGACUGUCGGAACUUCUCUCUAUCGCACCUUUAGGAGCUGUUAGCACCUGGACCAGGAAGCAGUUAGGAGUUUUGUUCUCCACCGUGCUGAACUUCACUAAACAAACCCCGAGUCAGCUGAAUUCCAGCUCUUUAGUGUCUCUGGGACACAUCGUUUGUGGGAUCGACGCUCCGCUCAUCAACACUCUUAAUCCUGUACAGUUCAGUACGGCGGUGCUGUGGCUGGGGCGUCUCAAUCUCUCGUGUUCGGAGGAUCAGCUUCAGGCCUUCGUCUCUCUGCUCAGCAGCAGUCAUGGGUUCGGACCCAUCAGCUCCUGGGGUCCGGAGGUGUUCCUCGAGAUCGGAG
Clarias gariepinus (North African catfish) is the source of this 434-nucleotide long non-coding RNA. RefSeq lists it as uncharacterized. The record is from RefSeq and is a predicted model, not a curated record. NCBI's taxonomy places the organism in Eukaryota, Metazoa, Chordata, Actinopteri, Siluriformes, Clariidae. The transcript is spliced from 3 exons.